UACGAAGGGGCUAGCGUUGUUCGGAAUCACUGGGCGUAAAGGGCGCGCAGGCGGCUGCUCAAGUCAGGCGUGAAAGGCCUGGGCUCAACCCGGGAAUUGCGCUUGAGACUGGGCUGGCUUGAGUGCGGGAGAGGAUGGUGGAAUUCCCAGUGUAGAGGUGAAAUUCGUAGAUAUUGGGAAGAACACCGGUGGCGAAAGCGGCUCACUGGACCUCUUCUGACGCUGAGGCACGAAAGCUAGGGUAGCGAACGGG
RNAcentral lists this ribosomal RNA (253 nucleotides) under uncultured bacterium. Its description in RNAcentral is "partial 16S ribosomal RNA". It matches the Rfam family "Bacterial small subunit ribosomal RNA", at positions 524 to 776 of the family's 1533-position model. The record is from RNAcentral.